UAGAUCCUCAACUCCAAGGAUGCUCAUCUAUAACACCAGCAUUGCGAGUUCAAACAGGGACAGGGGAUCCCGAAAGUCACACACCAGACAGUCUAGUCAAUUGCUUAGCUCUAGAUUCGUCGAGAGGAGAGACGUCUCAAAAAUUAAUAGGGGGGGGGGCAGAGAGAUGGCUCUGUGGUUAAGAGCAUUGGCUGCUCUUCCAGAGGACCUAGGUUUGAUUUCCAGUAGCAACAUGGCGGUUCAUAAACAUCUACAAGUCCAGUCCCAGAGGAUCCAGCACCCUCUUCCGGCCUGUGUGGGCCCCAGGCAUAUACAUGGUGCACACACUCACAGGUCAACCAAACACCCAUACACAUACAAUAAAAUAAUAAAAA
This 374-nucleotide long non-coding RNA is filed under the name Rattus norvegicus (Norway rat). RNAcentral describes it as "long non-coding RNA NONRATT006133". Lineage: Eukaryota; Metazoa; Chordata; Mammalia; Rodentia; Muridae. The record is from RNAcentral.